RNAcentral lists this ribosomal RNA (253 nucleotides) under uncultured bacterium. Its description in RNAcentral is "partial 16S ribosomal RNA". It matches the Rfam family "Bacterial small subunit ribosomal RNA", at positions 524 to 776 of the family's 1533-position model. The record is from RNAcentral.
UACGUAGGCAGCGAGCGUUGUUCGGAGUUACUGGGCGUAAAGAGUGCGUAGGCGGUUUUCUAAGUUUGGUGUGAAAUCUCCCGGCUUAACUGGGAGGGUGCGCCGAAGACUGGAAGGCUUGAGUAUGGGAGAGGUAAGCGGAAUUCCUGGUGUAGCGGUGAAAUGCGCAGAUAUCAGGAGGAACACCGGUGGCGAAGGCGGGUCUCUGGGCCGAUACUGACGCUGAGGAGCGAAAGCGUGGGGAGCAAACAGG